CAGUCGCCGCGGGAAUACGUAGGGUGCAAGCGUUGCUCGGAAUUACUGGGCGUAAAGGGCGCGUAGGCGGAUAUUUAAGUUGGGGGUGAAAGCCCGGGGCUCAACCUCGGAAUUGCCUUCAAUACUGGAUAUCUUGAGUUCGGGAGAGGUGAGUGGAAUGCCGAGUGUAGAGGUGAAAUUCGUAGAUAUUCGGCGGAACACCAGUGGCGAAGGCGACUCACUGGCCCGAUACUGACGCUGAGGCGCGAAAGCGUGGGGAGCAAACAGGAUUAGAUACCCGCGUAGUCCCUGUCUCUUAUAC
Molecule: ribosomal RNA, 301 nt
Filed under: uncultured bacterium
Lineage: Bacteria
Description: partial 16S ribosomal RNA
Rfam family: Bacterial small subunit ribosomal RNA
Source: RNAcentral